This 261-nucleotide long non-coding RNA is filed under the name Vigna radiata. RNAcentral's name for it is "long non-coding RNA (VRAD_LNC003462)". Lineage: Eukaryota; Viridiplantae; Streptophyta; Magnoliopsida; Fabales; Fabaceae. The record is from RNAcentral.
GGGAGCUAUAUAAGGUUGUUAGAUACCUGGUUAUUUAUCUAUACUUUGGUAUUUUAUCAUGUAUUUGCCUCUCAUUUUAUAAAAUUUCAAAUUUUAUAAAUUGCUUCUAUCUUUUGUUGAGAGUGAGAGCCAUUUAAGGGGAUGUUUUAACUGUAUGAGCUUAGAAGAGAGUUAGGAGUAUUAGAUAUAUCUUAGGAUCAAAGCUUAUGAAAAUUUUUACAUUUUCAUAAAAUUAAUGACUCAUAAUCGAUUAUCACAAAG